Molecule: non-coding RNA, 72 nt
Organism: Perkinsus olseni
Lineage: Eukaryota; Perkinsozoa; Perkinsida; Perkinsidae
Source: the annotation of a GenBank genome assembly
GACCUUGUGGCGCAAUUGAAGCGCGUCGGGUUCCGGAGGCGAAGGUUACGGGUUCAAGUCCCGCCAGGGUUA